Molecule: long non-coding RNA, 3145 nt
Organism: Pteropus alecto (black flying fox)
Lineage: Eukaryota; Metazoa; Chordata; Mammalia; Chiroptera; Pteropodidae
Exons: 2
Source: RefSeq, a predicted model, not a curated record
UCUUUCCGGUGGGGACUGCAGGCUGUGUUUCCUUGGUUGGAGUACCAGUCCAGGCAUCAAACCAUCUUAGUGAACCAGAGCUAGAGCAGGUGGAACAGUGUGUAACAGAGCCACCUUACCUGAGGGCUGCCUUAUGGCUGUGCUGCUUCCUAAUUGAGCUAUAAUGCUAUUGAGCUGCUCCAUAGCCAUGCUGUUCUCAUGGCCAUGCUAUUCUCACGGCCGUGCUGCAUCAUGAUUUAGUUGUUAGCACUGAAUAAAGCUGCCUCCUUCACUGCAUCCCAAACUGAGGAUCCCUGUUGGGGUUGGACUGGCAACCAUCGGUUGACGCAGCUUUGAAGAGAUCUUGAAUUUAGAUCCCGAGAUUUACUAUAUCAGAGGAAGGAAUGCAGAAUAAAACGUGGACUGAAACAAGCAUGACCAGGGCAAAGUAAACACAAUCUCCAUAAAGAGUAAGACACUACCCCAUUCCUCUCCCUUCCCUGAAGUGUCUGGGAAAGAACAAGAGUUUCCUACACGAGCUCUGUGAUACAUUACAAAAUUUCAGUGUGUGUUUGAAAUUCAAAUGCAUGUGAGAUUCGUGCAUGUUACUUUUCAGUUGUUCUCAAUUCUCCCAAAUAAAGCUUUUCCCCUGAGGUGACAUGUGAGGUCGCGGGUCUCUCUGCCAGGGGCAGGAAGGCUGCCCUUCCAGGAAGAGCUGCAUAGACCCUGGGAACCGACCAGCCCAGCUCACAAGAAUGAAGAGAAUGUCGGGAGAGGAAGUGGUGGCUGUGAGUCAGCAUGAGUCAUCUCGUUCCAAUGAGAAUGAAGACUGAGGUGUGCGCCGUUUUUUCUUUAAAUUCUUUUUUUUUUUUUUUGGUCUCAGUCAUGUGGAUAUCAUUGGGAAUGGAGGGAAAUAAGUGACUGUAUGGUCCUUGCUUUUUAAGUUUCAAACUGAUAUAGUUCAGGCAGGCUGUGCCUGAGCCGGUGUGCGUCUCCAGACCAUCACAAGCACCAUUCUUGGAGAGGUGGAGCCGUCAGCUUCUCCCUGCCUCGUGCAUCCUGCCUAUUCUCUGGCCUCUCUAGACGACCUCUCAAGAGUCAGUACUGGAGCACUGGCAUUUGGGGAAAACACUGGAAGUCAUCAGAAGUGUGCGCACUGUGGCCAGGGCUGCAGAUGGAGGCCUCUAAGUCGUCGCCGACCUCGAGCUUUAGCUGGGGACCUUGUCUUCUCAGCAGCUGCCCUUUCUCCCACCACACAUCAGUCACCCAUUCACUUCUUCAUUCCACACAGAUUUCUUUGGGGCCUGCUGUGCUGUGUGCCAGGUUCUGGAGGCAAAGCAAUGAGUGGGCCCGACUCUGCCCCAGCCUUCCCGCACCUCCAGCCUGUACAAGUCGGCGUCGCUGGGGCUUUGCUUGAGAGUGCAGAGGGCUGUGCAGUCAGCUCAUCAUGGACAGACAGCACAGACAUCUCAUUUGGGUAUCCCAGCUUCUUAAAUCCACUCUGAGAUCUGAGCCCCUGGAAUUGGCGACAAAAUAUUCCUUUAACAUGGGUAAGUGUCAAAGUGUUCCUUCUGUGGAGGUCACCUCUCCUCCCAACCUGAGUAGGGCAGACUGACCCUCCUGGGGACCCAGCCCAGAGGCCAUUAGCAGUUUCCUCCCAGUACUUCUUGUCGCCUUCACUUUCGCACUUGGCAGACAUCCAAGAAUAAUUUUAAAUGACUGUAUGUACUGUUUGCUCUUCUCAGAGUAAUUAAUCUGUACGCCAUGAGGAUAAUGUCCGCCCCGUGUGCAUGGCCCAGUAUACGCUGCCAGCUUCAGCCACAUGUCCCCUCCUCAGGGAAACACCUGGCCACUGUGUUCUGAGAAGGCCCCCUCCAUUUCUCUCUACCUCACGACUCCAUUUUAUUUUCUGGUAUACUUUCCCCUCUGCUGGUUCUAUGUCUCCUGGUCCUGGAACAGGAGGAGGAAGCACACGGGGUGUUGAAGACAUGCGGACAUGCCCACGGGCGCCCACGCAGACCCAUCAGCCUUCUGGAUGUACCCUGGGCCUGGAACAUGGGUCCCGUUGAUACAAAUGUCUCCUCCCACCUGGUCAUCACUUGCUCGCACUUUUGAAUCUCCCAGAGACUAACCCGCCAAGGCGUUUACAGCCUGUUGGAGGUGAGGUAGACGUGGGGAUUCAGGGAGAAGCAGACAUAUCUCCGGGCAUUUGCGGGAUGGUUAGCUCUCAAGGUUAAUGCGAGAAAGGGCCAGAGAGGACCGCCCUUGCAGCCCAGACGUUGGGGGCGGCUGUCCUGAGCCCUGGCCAGGCAUCUGGAUUACGCAGGAGUUCUUAAAAGCCCACGUGCCCAGGAUCCCUAGGGCCAGCCACACCGGCAUGUGGGCUGGGAGCCAGACAUCGGUCUUCUUUACAGAUCCCCAGGUCAUCCUGUCAUGUAGCCAAGGCUGACCCAUGCAGUCCAAUACAGCAGCCACCAGCCACAUGUGUCCAUUGAAAACUUAGAACGGGGCUGCUGUGACCAAGGAAUUGAAUUUAUAAUUGUAAUUGACUUAAAUGUACAUGUGCCCAUGAUUGUGGCUGCGAUGGUGACAAUGCAGAGAUACAACUCACAUGUCACAGGACAUUCUUCUGGGUGACUCAGCCUCGGAGCGCUCUGAAUCUGCAACUGUCCAGUGAAAUCACAGUGUGCCCCAGAGGAAGUGAAAAAAAUGCAUAGAUUUUUCAUCUACAGUUUGAACCAAGGCCCGUGCAGCAAUGAGGGCACUGUGCUUUCAAAGUGCUGCCCGUUGAACGGACGCAAGGAAUUAAAAAAACCGAUGGAAGUCCAAGGCCCCAGCCCAAAUCAGCUGUCAUUCACUCUGGCCAGGCACUCGAUCUGCAUCUUUGAAGACUCAGCCAGAGAGGGAGCUUUCUGAAUUAUGAUUGAAUCAUAGGAAACUCGGACUUUGAGACAGUGGGGAGCAGGCUUGCCAGAGGAGGGGCUUGGAACCUGAGGAAACUGAGGAGCGCUAGACACGGUUCACCGAGGCCACUCAGCAUGCUUAACCAGUUUGGGGUUAAAACUGGAGAAACAGAAGCCUAAGCUGAAUCAUUUUCUGCUUAUCUCUCGCAGACUGUCAGAUUCUUUUUUUUUUUUUUUUUUUUUUUUGGAGGGAAAGGACCUUA